AAAUUGAAGAGUUUGAUCAUGGCUCAGAUUGAACGCUGGCGGCAGGCCUAACACAUGCAAGUCGAGCGGAAACGAGUUAUCUGAACCUUCGGGGAACGAUAACGGCGUCGAGCGGCGGACGGGUGAGUAAUGCCUAGGAAAUUGCCCUGAUGUGGGGGAUAACCAUUGGAAACGAUGGCUAAUACCGCAUAAUGUCUACGGGCCAAAGAGGGGGACCUUCGGGCCUCUCGCGUCAGGAUAUGCCUAGGUGGGAUUAGCUAGUUGGUGAGGUAAUGGCUCACCAAGGCGACGAUCCCUAGCUGGUCUGAGAGGAUGAUCAGCCACACUGGAACUGAGACACGGUCCAGACUCCUACGGGAGGCAGCAGUGGGGAAUAUUGCACAAUGGGCGCAAGCCUGAUGCAGCCAUGCCGCGUGUGUGAAGAAGGCCUUCGGGUUGUAAAGCACUUUCAGUCGUGAGGAAGGUAGUGUAGUUAAUAGCUGCAUUAUUUGACGUUAGCGACAGAAGAAGCACCGGCUAACUCCGUGCCAGCAGCCGCGGUAAUACGGAGGGUGCGAGCGUUAAUCGGAAUUACUGGGCGUAAAGCGCAUGCAGGUGGUUUGUUAAGUCAGAUGUGAAAGCCCGGGGCUCAACCUCGGAAUAGCAUUUGAAACUGGCAGACUAGAGUACUGUAGAGGGGGUAGAAUUUCAGGUGUAGCGGUGAAAUGCGUAGAGAUCUGAAGGAAUACCGGUGGCGAAGGCGGCCCCCUGGACAGAUACUGACACUCAGAUGCGAAAGCGUGGGGAGCAAACAGGAUUAGAUACCCUGGUAGUCCACGCCGUAAACGAUGUCUACUUGGAGGUUGUGGCCUUGAGCCGUGGCUUUCGGAGCUAACGCGUUAAGUAGACCGCCUGGGGAGUACGGUCGCAAGAUUAAAACUCAAAUGAAUUGACGGGGGCCCGCACAAGCGGUGGAGCAUGUGGUUUAAUUCGAUGCAACGCGAAGAACCUUACCUACUCUUGACAUCCAGAGAACUUUUCAGAGAUGAAUUGGUGCCUUCGGGAACUCUGAGACAGGUGCUGCAUGGCUGUCGUCAGCUCGUGUUGUGAAAUGUUGGGUUAAGUCCCGCAACGAGCGCAACCCUUAUCCUUGUUUGCCAGCGAGUAAUGUCGGGAACUCCAGGGAGACUGCCGGUGAUAAACCGGAGGAAGGUGGGGACGACGUCAAGUCAUCAUGGCCCUUACGAGUAGGGCUACACACGUGCUACAAUGGCGCAUACAGAGGGCAGCAAGCUAGCGAUAGUGAGCGAAUCCCAAAAAGUGCGUCGUAGUCCGGAUUGGAGUCUGCAACUCGACUCCAUGAAGUCGGAAUCGCUAGUAAUCGUGGAUCAGAAUGCCACGGUGAAUACGUUCCCGGGCCUUGUACACACCGCCCGUCACACCAUGGGAGUGGGCUGCAAAAGAAGUAGGUAGUUUAACCUUCGGGAGGACGCUUACCACUUUGUGGUUCAUGACUGGGGUGAAGUCGUAACAAGGUAGCGCUAGGGGAACCUGGCGCUGGAUCACCUCCUUAAACGAUGAU
Molecule: ribosomal RNA, 1561 nt
Filed under: Vibrio owensii
Lineage: Bacteria; Pseudomonadati; Pseudomonadota; Gammaproteobacteria; Vibrionales; Vibrionaceae
Description: bacterial SSU rRNA
Rfam family: Bacterial small subunit ribosomal RNA
Source: RNAcentral